CCUGGUGCUUUUAGCGGCGGGGAAACACCUGUCCCCAUCCCGAACACAGCAGUUAAGCCCGUCAGCGCCGAUGGUAGUGCGGUUUUUCCGCGCGAGAGUAGGACGGUGCCAGGA
RNAcentral lists this ribosomal RNA (114 nucleotides) under Candidatus Peribacteria bacterium RIFCSPHIGHO2_01_FULL_51_9. The record is from RNAcentral. Lineage: Bacteria; Candidatus Peregrinibacteriota; Candidatus Peribacteria.